AUCAAAAUGUAGCUUAAUAAAAGCAUUUCGCUUACACCGAAACGUCAUCUGUUAAACCCGGAUCAUUUU
Molecule: transfer RNA, 69 nt
Filed under: Megophrys synoria
Lineage: Eukaryota; Metazoa; Chordata; Amphibia; Anura; Megophryidae
Description: tRNA-Val
Rfam family: tRNA
About the family: Transfer RNA (tRNA) molecules are approximately 80 nucleotides in length. Their secondary structure includes four short double-helical elements and three loops (D, anti-codon, and T loops).
Source: RNAcentral